Molecule: small RNA, 34 nt
Filed under: Arabidopsis thaliana (thale cress)
Lineage: Eukaryota; Viridiplantae; Streptophyta; Magnoliopsida; Brassicales; Brassicaceae
Description: ATSL049490
Source: RNAcentral
AUCAAGAAGAGGAAGAAGAAGAAGAAACUCAUUU